UCGGCAAUAGUUUAGUGGUGAGAAUUCCACGUUGUGGUCGUGGAGACCUGGGCUCGAAUCCCAGCAGACGAG
This 72-nucleotide transfer RNA is filed under the name Oryza rufipogon (brownbeard rice). It matches the Rfam family "tRNA". From Rfam's summary of the family: Transfer RNA (tRNA) molecules are approximately 80 nucleotides in length. Lineage: Eukaryota; Viridiplantae; Streptophyta; Magnoliopsida; Poales; Poaceae. The record is from Rfam by way of RNAcentral.